GGAUAAAGCUACUAAGCGUACACGGGGGAUGCCUUGGCACCAACUGCCGAAGAAGGGCGUGGCAAGACUGCGAUAAGCCUCGGUUAGUCGUCUAGCUGACUUAACCGGGGAUUCCCGAAUGGGGUAACCCAAUUCACUAAAUGUGGAUUAUCUUUGAACUAACCCUUAAUUCAAAGAAGGUAAGCAGGGGAACUGAAACAUCUAAGUACCCUGAGGAAGAGAAAUCAAAAGAGAUUCCCGUAGUAGUGGCGAACGAAAUGGGAAUAGCCUAAACCAUAGAGGCUUCACGGCUUUGGGGCCCAUGUCUUUAUGGGGUUGCAAGAAGUAUGUGUUGAGGCCCAUAACUCAACGAGGAGUAAGAAAACCAUUUUCUAUUCGAAUGUUCCUGGAACGGACAGCCAGAGAAGGUGAGAGCCCGGUAGAUUAAAGGAAAUGGUCUCCUUAUUACUUUCUUAAGUAGAGCGGGACACGUGAAAUCUUGCUUGAAUCUGGGGGGACCAUCCUCCAAGGCUAAAUACAGUUGGUGACCGAUAGUGAACUAGUACCGUGAGGGAAAGGUGAAAAGUACCCCGAGAGGGGAGUGAAAUAGACCUGAAACCGUGUACGUACAAACAGUCGGAGUAUCGAUUUAUCGAUAUGACGGCGUGCCUUUUGAAGAAUGAACCUGCGAGUUACUGGGACGUGGCAAGGUUAAUCUGCUAAGCAGAGGAGCCGAAGCGAAAGCGAGUCUGAAUAGGGCAUUCAGUCGCGUUCCGUAGACCCGAAACCAGGCGAGCUACCCAUGGCCAGGUUGAAGCUCAGAUAGUCUCUGAGUGAAGGACCGAACCCAUUUCAAGUACAAAUGGAUGGGAUGAGUUGUGGGUAGAGGUGAAAUGCCAAUCGAGCUUGGAAAUAGCUGGUUCUCCCCGAAAUGCAUUUAGGUGCAGCGUUGAAGAUUGACUUGAGGAGGUAAGGCUCUGGAUGGGUCAGGGGGUGCAAACUUACCGAUCCCAACCAAACCAAGAAUGCCUUAAGCUCGUACUUCAGCAGUGAGACAGUGGGGGAUAAGCUCCAUUGUCGAGAGGGAAACAGCCCAGACCACCGUCUAAGGUCCCCAAGUAUAUACUCAGUGUGAAAGGAAGUUGAAUCGCCAAAACAGCCAGGAGGUUGGCUUAGAAGCAGCCACCCUUUAAAGAGUGCGUAAUAGCUCACUGGUCGAGGGGUUCUGCGCCGACAAUUUAACGGGGCUUAAGUAUAUCACCGAAGACGUGGCAUCAGUUUACUGAUGGGUAGGGGAGCGUUCUGUAGGCAGUGAAGUCUAGUUGUAAAGCUAGGUGGAGCGUACAGAAGUGAGAAUGCAGGUAUGAGUAGCGUAUAUCUCGGUGAGAAUCCGAGACGUCGAAAAUCUGAGGAUUCCUACGCAACGUUUAUCGACGUAGGGUUAGUCGGUCCUAAGGUGUAUCCGAAAGGAGUAACCGAUGGACAGUAGGUCAAAAUUCCUACACCACCUAUUAUUCGUUUUAAUACAAAGGGGGGACACGGAAAGGUAGGCUGAGCGUGCCUAAUGGACAUGGUGCGUUCUUCUUUGAAGGCCAUCUCGCAAGACAUGUAAAUCAGUUAGCGAGGUUAUGAGCUGAGGAAGGAGAGAACUCUAGGGCUCGCCCUGGGGAAUUCGGUUGAACCUAUGCCGUCAAGAAAAGCCUCGUUGUAAGGAUAAUGGGUGACCGUACCGUAAACCGACACUGGUAGAUGAGCAUGAAAGUGCUAAGACGGUCGAGAGAACUCUGGUUAAGGAACUCGGCAAAAGGACCCCGUAACUUCGGGAUAAGGGGUUCCCUCGGGGUGAAGUCUAUUUACUAGACCAGCUCUAGAGGGACACAGCAAAUUGGCCCAAGCGACUGUUUAUCAAAAACACAGGUCUCUGCUAAGGGGUAACCCUAGGUAUAGAGGCUGACGCCUGCCCAGUGCCGGAAGGUUAAAGGGAAAGGUUAUCCGUAAGGAGAAGCUUUGAACUGAAGCCCCGGUGAACGGCGGCCGUAACUAUAACGGUCCUAAGGUAGCGAAGUCCCUUGUCGGGUAAGUUCCGACCCGCACGAAUGGCGUAACGACU
RNAcentral lists this ribosomal RNA (2089 nucleotides) under Gemmatimonadota bacterium. RNAcentral describes it as "bacterial LSU rRNA". It matches the Rfam family "Bacterial large subunit ribosomal RNA", at positions 1 to 2009 of the family's 2925-position model. The record is from RNAcentral. Lineage: Bacteria; Pseudomonadati; Gemmatimonadota.